This 497-nucleotide ribosomal RNA is filed under the name uncultured bacterium. Its description in RNAcentral is "partial 16S ribosomal RNA". It matches the Rfam family "Bacterial small subunit ribosomal RNA", at positions 28 to 507 of the family's 1533-position model. The record is from RNAcentral.
GAUGAACGCUGGCGGCGUGCCUAAUACAUGCAAGUCGAGCGAACAGACGAGGAGCUUGCUCCUCUGACGUUAGCGGCGGACGGGUGAGUAACACGUGGAUAACCUACCUAUAAGACUGGGAUAACUUCGGGAAACCGGAGCUAAUACCGGAUAAUAUAUUGAACCGCAUGGUUCAAUAGUGAAAGACGGUGUUGCUGUCACUUAUAGAUGGAUCCGCGCCGCAUUAGCUAGUUGGUAAGGUAACGGCUUACGAAGGCGACGAUGCGUAGCCGACCUGAGAGGGUGAUCGGCCACAUGGGAGCGGAGACACGGUCCAGACUCCUACGGGAGGCAGCAGUAUGGAAUCUUCCGCAAUGGGCGAGAGCCUGACGGAGCAACGCCGCGUGAGUGAUGACGGUCUUCGGAUCGUAAAACUCUGUUAUUAGGGAAGAACAAAUGUGUAAGUAACUAUGCACGGCUUGACGGUACCUAAUCAGAAAGCCACGGCUAACUACGUG